Molecule: ribosomal RNA, 95 nt
Filed under: Propithecus coquereli (Coquerel's sifaka)
Lineage: Eukaryota; Metazoa; Chordata; Mammalia; Primates; Indriidae
Source: RNAcentral
GCCUAUGGUCAUACCUCCCUGAACAUGCCUGAGCUCAUCCGAUCUUGGAAGCUAAGCAGGAUUGGGCCUGGUUAAUACUUGGAUGGAUAAAAGCU